GAGAUGUUGUCUUCGGGCCAGAUCUUCUUGUCCUCGGAACCAUUGACGCUCAUUAGAAACAUGUGGAUGUGAUGGAGCCAGGGCUACAUCAUCCGUGACUUCGCAGGCUGCCCUGGGCUCUUGGACCUGGCCCAGGCUGUGCAGGCCAUGGCCCGGGCAGUCCCUUCUUAUGGCUUCAGAAACUUCACCUGCAGGUGGCGCUCUCACCUGGGUGAGAAACUAGCCUGUGGGACCCAUACUCAAGACAAGCAGCUCUGAGAAACCGCCAAGCACAAGCUCUUCACAUCAGGAAGACAGCAGAUAGCCCACUGGUCCCCUUUCCUCCUUAUGGGGAGCAGAUUCUGUAUCCCCAGGAGAGGAAGCUUUCGUUUGGCCAGUUACUUCAGUUUUGUUUAAAAUAAUUUAUUUACGAGCCUUACAAAAAUACAUUGGCAAGAGAAAAAAAAUAAAAGUCCUCUAGGAACAGGC
Molecule: long non-coding RNA, 468 nt
Filed under: Mus pahari (shrew mouse)
Lineage: Eukaryota; Metazoa; Chordata; Mammalia; Rodentia; Muridae
Description: lncRNA (MGP_PahariEiJ_G0002758.1)
Source: RNAcentral